CGAAAGCCUGACGGAGCAAUACCGCGUGAGGGAGGAAGGCUCUUGGGUCGUAAACCUCUUUUCUCAGGGAAGAACACAAUGACGGUACCUGAGGAAUAAGCAUCGGCUAACUCCGUGCCAGCAGCCGCGGUAAUACGGAGGAUGCAAGCGUUAUCCGGAAUGAUUGGGCGUAAAGCGUCCGCAGGUGGCAAUGUAAGUCUGCUGUUAAAGAGUCUAGCUCAACUAGAUAAGAGCAGUGGAAACUACAUAGCUAGAGUACGUUCGGGGCAGAGGGAAUUCCUGGUGUAGCGGUGAAAUGCGUAGAGAUCAGGAAGAACACCGGUGGCGAAGGCGCUCUGCUAGGCCGUAACUGACACUGAGGGACGAAAGCUAGGGGAGCGAAUGGGAUUAGAUACCCCAGUAGUCCUAGCCGUAAACGAUGGAUACUAGGCGUGGCUUGUAUCGACCCGAGCCGUGCCGUAGCUAACGCGUUAAGUAUCCCGCCUGGGGAGUACGCCGGCAACGGUGAAACUCAAAGGAAUUGACGGGGGCCCGCACAAGCGGUGGAGUAUGUGGUUUAAUUCGAUGCAACGCGAAGAACCUUACCAAGGCUUGACAUGUCGCGAAUCUUCUCGAAAGGGGAGAGUGCCUUCGGGAGCGCGAACACAGGUGGUGCAUGGCUGUCGUCAGCUCGUGUCGUGAGAUGUUGGGUUAAGUCCCGCAACGAGCGCAACCCUCGUUUUUAGUUGCCAGCAUUAAGUUGGGCACUCUAGAGAGACUGCCGGUGACAAACCGGAGGAAGGUGGGGAUGACGUCAAGUCAGCAUGCCCCUUACGCCUUGGGCUACACACGUACUACAAUGCUCCGGACAGAGGGCAGCAAGCAUGCGAAUGCAAGCAAAUCCCGUAAACCGGAGCUCAGUUCAGAUCGCAGGCUGCAACUCGCCUGCGUGAAGGAGGAAUCGCUAGUAAUUGCAGGUCAGCAUACUGCAGUGAAUUCGUUCCCGGGCCUUGUACACACCGCCCGUCACACCAUGGAAGCUGGUAGUGCCCGAAGUCAUUACUCC
This 1045-nucleotide ribosomal RNA is filed under the name Nostoc punctiforme CALU 1286. Its description in RNAcentral is "bacterial SSU rRNA". It matches the Rfam family "Bacterial small subunit ribosomal RNA", at positions 376 to 1436 of the family's 1533-position model. The record is from RNAcentral. Lineage: Bacteria; Bacillati; Cyanobacteriota; Cyanophyceae; Nostocales; Nostocaceae.